GGGAUUUGAAUGUGCAGCCAGGUUGAAAAUCACUAACCCACAUGAUAAUUUCAUCUUUCAGAAGGGAGAGGAAGUGAUGAAGAGGAUUAACACCCUGCUUCUAAUUCUGGCCAACUCGGAGGCCCUGCAUGGAAAAUCAGAAGUGACAGGAAUCCUGGAAGAGGGCCACCUGGCCAUCAGAAAAUUCCAGAGGGAUGUGGUCACUGCCAGACACACACUUGGUUAUGGAGCUCUGUGGUGUUAUGGAAGUGAAUGGCAUAUUGCCAUGAGUAAUGAAGUGAGAUCCCAGCAGUACCCACUGUACCAAGAAGCUGAGCGUUGACUGAAGGUCUGAUGGCUUCUAGACUCUCACCAUGAACUAACUGUGCCACACGUUGAAAUUGAAAUGUGGAUCCCUUGGAAUAACUUGUUUCCUGUUUUAUGAAGGUCAGAGGGUGGGAGUGAAAACUUACCAGUAACCAAACAUGGUGGUAUCAAGCCUAAUCAGAAAUAAAAAAACUUCUAAAAUCUGUG
This 513-nucleotide long non-coding RNA is filed under the name Ursus maritimus (polar bear). RNAcentral describes it as "lncRNA (ENSUMAG00000021701.1)". The record is from RNAcentral. Lineage: Eukaryota; Metazoa; Chordata; Mammalia; Carnivora; Ursidae.